AUCUCGCUGACGAGUCCCGAAUAGGACAAAACGCGCAUCCUGCAU
Schistosoma rodhaini is the source of this 45-nucleotide non-coding RNA. The record is from Rfam. Lineage: Eukaryota; Metazoa; Platyhelminthes; Trematoda; Strigeidida; Schistosomatidae.